Molecule: ribosomal RNA, 337 nt
Filed under: uncultured Anaerolineaceae bacterium
Lineage: Bacteria; Bacillati; Chloroflexota; Anaerolineae; Anaerolineales; Anaerolineaceae
Description: bacterial SSU rRNA
Rfam family: Bacterial small subunit ribosomal RNA
Source: RNAcentral
UAUACAGGUGUUGCAUCGGCUGUCGUCAGCUCGUGUCGUGAGAUGUUCGGUUAAGUCCGCUAACGAGCGCAACCCUCGUCGUAUGUUAUAUGUGUCAUACGAGACUGCCGGUAAAAGCCGGAGGAAGGUGAGGAUGAUGUCAAGUCAGCAUGACCUUUAUAUCCAGGGCUACACACACGCUACAAUGGUCUGUACAAUGGGUAGCCAAGCCGCGAGGCGGAGCCAAUCCUGAAAGCAGGCCUCAGUUCAGAUUGCAGUCUGCAACUCGACUGCAUGAAGCCGGAGUUGCUAGUAACCGCAGGUCAGCAAUACUGCGGUGAAUACGUUCCCGGGUCUU